UACGGGGGGGGCAAGCGUUGUUCGGAAUUACUGGGCGUAAAGGGCUCGUAGGCGGUUUGUCGCGUCGGGAGUGAAAACCAGGUGCUUAACACCUGGCUUGCUUUCGAUACGGGCAGACUAGAGGUAUGCAGGGGAGAACGGAAUUCCUGGUGUAGCGGUGAAAUGCGCAGAUAUCAGGAGGAACACGGUGGCGAAGGCGGUUCUCUGGGCAUGACCUGACGCUGAGGAGCGAAAGUGUGGGGAGCGAACAGG
RNAcentral lists this ribosomal RNA (252 nucleotides) under uncultured bacterium. Its description in RNAcentral is "partial 16S ribosomal RNA". It matches the Rfam family "Bacterial small subunit ribosomal RNA", at positions 524 to 776 of the family's 1533-position model. The record is from RNAcentral.